GCGGGUAUAGCUCAGGGGUAGAGCAUGUGCUUAGGAAGCAUGAGAUGCUGGGUUCAAUUGCCAGUACCUCCA
Molecule: transfer RNA, 72 nt
Filed under: Camelus bactrianus (Bactrian camel)
Lineage: Eukaryota; Metazoa; Chordata; Mammalia; Artiodactyla; Camelidae
Also listed under: 3 other names
Rfam family: tRNA
About the family: Transfer RNA (tRNA) molecules are approximately 80 nucleotides in length. Their secondary structure includes four short double-helical elements and three loops (D, anti-codon, and T loops).
Source: Rfam by way of RNAcentral